This 274-nucleotide ribosomal RNA is filed under the name uncultured bacterium. RNAcentral describes it as "partial 16S ribosomal RNA". It matches the Rfam family "Bacterial small subunit ribosomal RNA", at positions 523 to 796 of the family's 1533-position model. The record is from RNAcentral.
AUACAGAGGGUGCGAGCGUUAAUCGGAAUUACUGGGCGUAAAGCGCACGUAGGUGGAUGAGCAGGUUGGAUGUGAAAGCCCCGGGCUUAACCUGGGAAUGCCAUUCAAAACCAUUUGUCUAGAGUACAGUAGAGGAAAGUGGAAUUUCCGGUGUAGCGAUGAAAUGCGUAGAUAUCGGAAGGAACACCAGUGGCGAAGGCGACUUUCUGGACUGAUACUGACACUGAGGUGCGAAAGCGUGGGGAGCAAACAGGAUUAGAAACCCCAGUAGUCC